Marmota marmota marmota (Alpine marmot) is the source of this 105-nucleotide small nuclear RNA. The record is from Ensembl. Lineage: Eukaryota; Metazoa; Chordata; Mammalia; Rodentia; Sciuridae.
GUGCUUACUUCAGCAGUACAUACACUAAAGUUGGAACUAUACAGAGAAGAUUAGCAUAGCUCCUACCCAAAGUUGAUGGCAAAUUUAGAAGUGUCCCAUAUUUUU